GCUUUGCUAGAAACAUUUCUAGUGUGGUCAGUCAGGUCUUCACAGUCUCGACAACACUGUCAAGAAGAUGGCGAAGGGUACAAUUUCCCGGAUUGCAGUCCUUGUACUGGUAGCAGCGCUGUGUGCGCGAGAAUGUGCAAAGGCGGCCUACGUAAGGUACGACGACGACGACGAUGAAGGGAUGGACCCUCAAGAGGACCUCUACGGGAUGACCAAAGAAGUUACGACUACUACGGUCACCACCCCAACUCCGACAACCAAUCAUACAACAACUACAACAACUACACCAACUA
Molecule: long non-coding RNA, 293 nt
Organism: Pomacea canaliculata
Lineage: Eukaryota; Metazoa; Mollusca; Gastropoda; Architaenioglossa; Ampullariidae
Exons: 4
Source: RefSeq, a predicted model, not a curated record